Caretta caretta (loggerhead turtle) is the source of this 328-nucleotide long non-coding RNA. RefSeq lists it as uncharacterized. The record is from RefSeq and is a predicted model, not a curated record. Lineage: Eukaryota; Metazoa; Chordata; Testudines; Cheloniidae.
CCCAGCCUCUGAGCUUGCAAGCUUGUCCUCCUCACAGCCAGGGGGAGAGGGGAAAACAGGGUUCACAACCUCCUACCUGUAAAAUGGCUGCCCCAGGCCGUGUUUGGUGAAACAGACACAAAUUCAUGGAGCAUUCUAGUGUUGCCAAAUCUGAAUUAUUUGCCAGAAGAAAGUCUUGGAUGAAAGAUUUCACCCAGAUUGCUGGGACAGUGUGAAUACCCCCAAUCCUCUGCUCUCCAACUCAGCUUGCCUAUUCUGCAUCCAGCUCCAUUCUUUGCUUCUAGAUGGAUCCCAGCACCUGUGGGGUACCCAGCACAUGAUCUGGAAU